RNAcentral lists this ribosomal RNA (450 nucleotides) under uncultured bacterium. RNAcentral's name for it is "partial 16S ribosomal RNA". It matches the Rfam family "Bacterial small subunit ribosomal RNA", at positions 354 to 796 of the family's 1533-position model. The record is from RNAcentral.
GUGGGGAAUUUUGGACAAUGGGCGCAAGCCUGAUCCAGCAAUGCCGCGUGCAGGAAGAAGGCCUUCGGGUUGUAAACUGCUUUUGUACGGAACGAAACGGUCCGGGUUAAUACCCUGGGCUAAUGACGGUACCGUAAGAAUAAGCACCGGCUAACUACGUGCCAGCAGCCGCGGUAAUACGUAGGGUGCAAGCGUUAAUCGGAAUUACUGGGCGUAAAGCGUGCGCAGGCGGUUUUGUAAGACAGGCGUGAAAUCCCCGGGCUCAACCUGGGAAUUGCGCUUGUGACUGCAAGGCUGGAGUGCGGCAGAGGGGGAUGGAAUUCCGCGUGUAGCAGUGAAAUGCGUAGAUAUGCGGAGGAACACCGAUGGCGAAGGCAAUCCCCUGGACCUGCACUGACGCUCAUGCACGAAAGCGUGGGGAGCAAACAGGAUUAGAUACCCUGGUAGUCC